Molecule: ribosomal RNA, 406 nt
Filed under: uncultured bacterium
Lineage: Bacteria
Description: partial 16S ribosomal RNA
Rfam family: Bacterial small subunit ribosomal RNA
Source: RNAcentral
AUUGAACGCUGGCGGCAGGCCUAACACAUGCAAGUCGAACGAGUGGCGGACGGGUGAGUAAUGUCUGGGAAACUGCCCGAUGGAGGGGGAUAACUACUGGAAACGGUAGCUAAUACCGCCUACCAUCGGAUGAGCCCAGAUGGGAUUAGCUAGUAGGUGGGGUAAAGGCUCACCUAGGCGACGAUCCCUAGCUGGUCUGAGAGGAUGACCAGCCAGACGUGGACGUAGAAACGGACCAGAUUCCUACGGGAGGCAGCAGGGGGGAAUAGUGCGCAAUGGGAGAAAGCCUGAGGCAGCCAACCCGCGUGAAUGAAGAAGGCCUUAGGGUUGUAAAGUACUGUCAGUGGCGAGGCGUUAACCGCAGAAGAAGCACCGGGUAACUCCGGGCCAGCAGCCGGGGUAAUAC